This 487-nucleotide ribosomal RNA is filed under the name uncultured bacterium. Its description in RNAcentral is "partial 16S ribosomal RNA". It matches the Rfam family "Bacterial small subunit ribosomal RNA", at positions 28 to 507 of the family's 1533-position model. The record is from RNAcentral.
GAUGAACGCUAGCGAUAGGCUUAACACAUGCAAGUCGAGGGGCAGCACAAGGUAGCUUGCUAUCUGGGUGGCGACCGGCGCACGGGUGCGUAACGCGUAUGCAACUUGCCCUAUACAGGAGGAUAACCCGUCGAAAGACGGACUAAUACUGCGUAUGCUCACAACUUGGCAUCAAGUGGUGAGGAAAGAAAUUCGGUAUAGGAUAGGCAUGCGUCCCAUUAGCUUGUUGGUGAGGUAACGGCUCACCAAGGCAACGAUGGGUAGGGGAACUGAGAGGUUUAUCCCCCACACUGGUACUGAGACACAGACCAGACUCCUACGGGAGGCAGCAGUGAGGAAUAUUGGUCAAUGGGCGCGAGCCUGAACCAGCCAAGUCGCGUGAAGGAUGACUGUCUUAUGGAUUGUAAACUUCUUUUAUACGGGAAUAACAAGAGUCACGUGUGACUCCCUGCAUGUACCGUAUGAAUAAGCAUCGGCUAACUCCGUG